CCUACGGGAGGCAGCAGUGGGGGAUAUUGCACAAUGGGCGGAACCCUGAUGCAGCGACGUCGCGUGGGUGAAGAAGCGCCUCGGCGCUUAAAGCCCUGUUAGCCGGGAAGAAAAUGACGGUACCUGAAGAAGAAGCCCCGGCUAACUACGGGGCAGCAGCCGCGGUAAUCCGGAGGGGGCAAGCGUUAUCCGGAUUUACUGGGUGUAAAGGGGGAGUAGUCGGGGUUGCAAGCCAGGAGUGAAAGCGCGGGGCCCAACCCCGGGACUGCUCUUGGAACUGCGUGGCUUGAGUGCAGGAGGGGCAGGCGGAAUGCCUGGUGUAGCGGUGAAAUGCGUAGAUAUCACGAGGAACACCGAUGGCGAAGGCAGCCUACUGGACUGCAACUGACGUUGAGGCCCGAAAGCGUGGGGAGCAAACAGGAUUAGAUACCCGUGUAGUC
Molecule: ribosomal RNA, 440 nt
Filed under: uncultured bacterium
Lineage: Bacteria
Description: partial 16S ribosomal RNA
Rfam family: Bacterial small subunit ribosomal RNA
Source: RNAcentral